Molecule: unclassified non-coding RNA, 461 nt
Filed under: Hevea brasiliensis (rubber tree)
Lineage: Eukaryota; Viridiplantae; Streptophyta; Magnoliopsida; Malpighiales; Euphorbiaceae
Source: RNAcentral
AUACCAUUGCAGUGAGAGCUGAUCUCACAUGCAUGCCCAAAAUGUCAACCCCAAGAUACCACUGCCGGGUCGUUAAGGUCUCAACUAACUUCGCUGUGAAGAAUAUUCCAGCCAAAAUGUAUCCCUCAUGAGGAAACGUCUCCACUCCUGCUAGGUAGUCCACGAAGUAACUGAUCAAGUAUGGGCCCACAUAAGAAACACAAGUGUUCAAUCCUGCAAAAACUGCAUUGCAGGCAGCCUCCUUCCAGAAAGACUUAAGUAUGGCCCAAGCUAAAGAAGGCUGCUCUGAAGGAUCUUCAGCCUUCAAUUUUUCCCAAUUUGCAUUUAGAACCUUGUAAUUAGUCUUAGAACGAUCUCGUUGAGCAAGAAGUGGAAUGUCUUUCAGCUCAAGAGGCCUCUUUGCGCCUACUGAAAGAAGUGGGUUUAACCAAGAAAGAGUAGCUAAACUGAUAAGUCCCGCA